Molecule: ribosomal RNA, 468 nt
Filed under: uncultured bacterium
Lineage: Bacteria
Description: partial 16S ribosomal RNA
Rfam family: Bacterial small subunit ribosomal RNA
Source: RNAcentral
GACGAACGCUGGCGGCGUGCUUAACACAUGCAAGUCGAACGGAAAGGCCCUGCUUUUGUGGGUUUCUCGAGUGGCGAACGGGUGAGUAACACGUGAGUAACCUGCCCUUGACUUUGGGAUAACUUCAGGAAACUGGGGCUAAUACCGGAUAGGAUCUCCUGCUGCAUGUUGGUGGUUGGAAAGUUUCGGCGGUUGUGGAUGUACUCGCGGCUUAUCCGCUUGUUGGUGGGGUAGUGGCUUACCAAGGCUUUGACGGGUAGCCUGCCUGAGAGGGUGAACGGCGACAAUGGGACUGAGGGACGGCGCAGAAUGCUACGGGAGGCAGCAGUGGGGAAUAUUGCACAGUGGGCGGAAGCGAGAUGUGGCAACGCCGGGUGCGGGAUACCGGCUUACGGGUUGUAAACAGAUUUGGCCUGUGACGAAGAGUGAGUGACGGUAAUGGGUAAAGAAGCACCGGCUAACUACGUG